RNAcentral lists this long non-coding RNA (318 nucleotides) under Brassica napus (rape). Its description in RNAcentral is "long non-coding RNA (BNAP_LNC005997)". Lineage: Eukaryota; Viridiplantae; Streptophyta; Magnoliopsida; Brassicales; Brassicaceae. The record is from RNAcentral.
GUUAGUAUAAACUAUAAGUAAUAUCUAUAUAUGGAACGUACAAGAAUUUGGAGGGAAAGAAAACGUCAUAAAAUGUUGAACUUUUACGAAAUGAUAGAUUUUUUCUUGACCUACAUUCAGUAAGAUACUGCCACCCAUAAAUGCUACACCAAAGUUUAGCUACUUAAGACCUAGAGAAACGAAAACGAAAGCACAUGACCAGAAAAAGAUGUCUGUACACCUACGUUUUUGUCCCGGUUUGAGGAUCAAAACGGUAUGUUUCAUAUUGACAAGCUACUCGAUGUGUCUGGUCUCUCUCUUUCCUUCUUGCCCUCACAC